GAAGUAAACUGGGUGAUCGCUGUUUUGGCCCUUGGGUCGAGAGAGAGGAAAGUCCGGGCUCCACAGGGCAGGAUACUCCGUAACUCGGAGUGAGGGUGACCUUAAGGAAAGUGCCGCAGAAAAUACACAGCCUACCCGACUGUCAAUAGUCGGCGGCAAUGGUGAAAAGGCGAGGUAAGAGCUCACCAGUACUGCUGGCGACAGCGGUAGCUUGGUAAACCCUAUCCGGAGCAAGAUCAAAUAGGAAAGUGGGUUGCCCGCCCUAGACUUUCGGGUUGAUUGCUUGAGCCUGUUGGCAACAGCAGGCCUAGAUUGAUGGUUACCGCUUCAUUUAAUAUGAAGAACAAAACCCGGCUUAUGGUUUACUUCGGCU
This 373-nucleotide RNase P RNA is filed under the name Nitrospinota bacterium. Its description in RNAcentral is "Bacterial RNase P class A". It matches the Rfam family "Bacterial RNase P class A". From Rfam's summary of the family: Ribonuclease P (RNase P) is a ubiquitous endoribonuclease, found in archaea, bacteria and eukarya as well as chloroplasts and mitochondria. The record is from Rfam by way of RNAcentral. Lineage: Bacteria; Pseudomonadati; Nitrospinota.